CCGAACUGUAGCUCAGCUUGGUAGAGCAGUGGGUCCCGCAAGGGACGUCUUCGUGUCCGCCUGUUCCCUGCCGGGACGUCUCUAAAGGCCAGGAUGGCGGCGUAGGGCGCGGUUACUUCGCUCAUAACGCACGGGUCGCGGGUUCGAAUCCCGCCGGACCGGG
This 163-nucleotide transfer RNA is filed under the name Caulobacter ginsengisoli. RNAcentral describes it as "tRNA-Ala". Lineage: Bacteria; Pseudomonadati; Pseudomonadota; Alphaproteobacteria; Caulobacterales; Caulobacteraceae. The record is from RNAcentral.